This 253-nucleotide ribosomal RNA is filed under the name uncultured bacterium. RNAcentral describes it as "partial 16S ribosomal RNA". It matches the Rfam family "Bacterial small subunit ribosomal RNA", at positions 524 to 776 of the family's 1533-position model. The record is from RNAcentral.
UACGUAGGUGGCAAGCGUUAUCCGGAAUUAUUGGCGUAAAGCGCGCGCAGGCGGUUAGAUAAGUCUGAUGUGAAAGCCCCCGGCUCAACCGGGGAGGGUCAUUGGAAACUGUUUAACUUGAGUGCAGAAGAGAAGAGUGGAAUUCCACGUGUAGCGGUGAAAUGCGUAGAGAUGUGGAGGAACACCAGUGGCGAAGGCGGCGAACUGGAUAGCAACUGACACUCAACUGCGAAAGGCGUGGGGAGCAAACAGG